Molecule: long non-coding RNA, 706 nt
Organism: Oncorhynchus keta (chum salmon)
Lineage: Eukaryota; Metazoa; Chordata; Actinopteri; Salmoniformes; Salmonidae
Exons: 3
Source: RefSeq, a predicted model, not a curated record
UUUGUAAAGAUGUGAGAAGUUCAACACUGUGGUGAUGGUGUCGUUGUUUGAAAUCUGUUUCUCUCAGGAUUAAGUUGAAUUUACCCAACAGUUUUUUGGGACUGAAAUGUUUUGUAAGUCGAUAAUUAGAGUAAUACAGUUUAUCUCAGGAUCACAGCUCAGUGUGGUCAGAUUUGACCAGUUGGAUGGUUUUUAUGAACUGAAAUCAGGUGUUUUUAUAGGUAGAUGUGACUAAUUUAAUGGUUGUAUAGGUAGAUGUGACUAAUUUAAUGGUUUUAUGAACUGAAAUCAGGUGUUUUUAUAGGUAGAUGUGACUAGUUUAAUGGUUUUAUAGGUAGAUAUGACUAGUUUAAUGGUUUUAUAGGUAGAUGUGACUAGUUUAAUGGUUUUAUAGGUAGAUAUGACUAGUUUAAUGGUUUUAUAGGUAGAUAUGACUAGUUUAAUGGUUUUAUAGGUAGAUAUGACUAGUUUAAUGGUUUUAUAGGUAGAUAUGACUAGUUUAAUGGUUUUAUAGGUAGAUAUGACUAGUUUAAUGGUUUUAUAGGUAGAUAUGACUAGUUUAAUGGUUUUAUAGGUAGAUAUGACUAGUUUAAUGGUUUUAUAGGUAGAUAUGACUAGUUUAAUGGUUUUAUAGGUAGAUAUGACUAGUUUAAUGGUUUUAUAGGUAGAUAUGACUAGUUUAAUGGUUUUAUAGGUAGAUAUGACU